This 534-nucleotide long non-coding RNA is filed under the name Homo sapiens (human). RNAcentral's name for it is "HSALNT0187673". The record is from RNAcentral. Lineage: Eukaryota; Metazoa; Chordata; Mammalia; Primates; Hominidae.
GGGGGGUGGUUUCUCCCAUGCUGUUCUCGUGAUAGCGAAUCUCACGAAAUCUUUUGGUUUUAAAACAGGCAGUUUUUUCCUGUGCUCCUACUUCCCUCUCUUCUGCCACCUUGUGAAGAAAGUGCCUGCUUCCCCUUCACCUGCCGCCAUGAUUGUCAGCUUCCUGAGGCCUCCCCAGCCAUGCUGAACUGUCUGAAGUCUGAGUGGGCUCAACCAGCUCCCUGUUCAACAUCCGGCAAGGUCCAAACGAAGGUGACAAUCAACAGGGAUCUUAUUUGGAAGCUCUGAUGGUGUCAGAAGUGGGAUCUGAAGUAGAGCCUUAACAAUCCCCAAGAGUGCUGAGUGAACAAGCAAGGUACCUGCAAGGACCUACUUUUGUCCUUUGAUCUCUCAAAGUGGCUGGGGAUCAUGGUGAAGGCCCCUCAUGCAUAAUAAAGCAGAGAAGAAUGUAAAAGGUUGCUACAUCAAUAAUCAAUUUCUGAUGGAGUCUCACUCUGUUGCCCAGGCUGGAGUGCAACAGCACGAUCUUGGCUU